GGUUGUGUAGUGUAGUGGUUAGCACUUUGGAUUUUGAAGAGAAACGCCAUCUCAUCAAUCUUCUUCCGGCAACCCCGGUUCGAACCCGGGCACGACCU
Apodospora peruviana is the source of this 98-nucleotide non-coding RNA. The record is from the annotation of a GenBank genome assembly. Lineage: Eukaryota; Fungi; Ascomycota; Sordariomycetes; Sordariales; Lasiosphaeriaceae.